RNAcentral lists this long non-coding RNA (206 nucleotides) under Haliotis rubra (blacklip abalone). RNAcentral's name for it is "uncharacterized LOC124280740". The record is from RNAcentral. Lineage: Eukaryota; Metazoa; Mollusca; Gastropoda; Lepetellida; Haliotidae.
AUGUGUUUUAAUAUAAGUUGCUAUGUUUUAACUGUGAUAACUAUAAGUGUAUAUUAUUUAUCAUCUAAUAUUAUUUGCAGCAGAUAAGUCCCAAUCCAUAAGUCUGGUGCUGUGCCCGAUUGUUGUACACCCUUGUACCACCCACAGGGGUGUCGUUUAACAUUCAGCAAUGUUUCAUCCUACGAAAUAAACAACCUCACACCCCA